Long non-coding RNA from Sander lucioperca (pikeperch), 604 nucleotides. RefSeq lists it as uncharacterized. The transcript has 2 exons. NCBI's taxonomy places the organism in Eukaryota, Metazoa, Chordata, Actinopteri, Perciformes, Percidae. The record is from RefSeq and is a predicted model, not a curated record.
UUUAAAAAACAACUUAGUUCACUGCAAACACUGUGAUGCCAUGUAUAAGUACAACACAGCCACGACUUAAAUGACCAAAUGACCACUUAAACAAAGUGCAUCCGACCCUGGUUAAUAUCAGCGGCGGUGCAUCCUGCUCUCAGUCUCAACUUAGCAUCAAGUUGCAGUCGCGUCUGACCCCAGAUCAUGUCAACAUGCUUAUCUUUCUCAACAAAAAUCAGUAGACUGGUGCAGAAGUUGUAUGUGAGUUACUAGUUAUUUUUUAUGAGGCUUUGUUAAGUAGCCUAAUUAAUUGUUAGGUAGGCUAUCUCUCUCACCCUCUUUCUCUACUCCGUGCCUUGGAUAGUUUUGAGUUACAUUUUGACAAAACCUGUCAGAUCUAAGUAUUAUUAUGUUUUUGGUUAAGUUCUUAUUUAACAUGAUUCUUUUUUUAUUAUUUAUUAUUUUGAAACAAAGGAGGGUCUCUGUUUAAGAACACCGGCUCGCAGCUGCAGGUUCCGCUGCUUUAGAGCACCGCAGCGCAUAUAUCUUCAAGUUUAGCCUAACCGAACGUCCAGUUUCACUGCCACAAGUUGUUCUUCUUGUAAUAAAGAUUUCAAUGAGG